This 66-nucleotide transfer RNA is filed under the name Biomphalaria glabrata. It matches the Rfam family "tRNA". From Rfam's summary of the family: Transfer RNA (tRNA) molecules are approximately 80 nucleotides in length. Their secondary structure includes four short double-helical elements and three loops (D, anti-codon, and T loops). The record is from Rfam by way of RNAcentral. Lineage: Eukaryota; Metazoa; Mollusca; Gastropoda; Planorbidae.
CUUUAGCUGAGCAAUAUAGCGCUUGGCUUCUGAACCAAGGGUCCCGGGUUCAAAUCCUGGUGAAGA